Molecule: non-coding RNA, 71 nt
Organism: Biomphalaria glabrata
Lineage: Eukaryota; Metazoa; Mollusca; Gastropoda; Planorbidae
Source: Rfam
GCAGGUGUAGUUUAGUGGUAAAACAACAGCUUGCCAUGCUGUAGUUGAGGGUUCGAUUCCCUUCACCUGCU